UACGGAGGGGGCGAGCGUUGUUCGGAGUUACUGGGCGUAAAGCGUGCGCAGGCGGCCCGUUAAGACAGGUGUGAAAUCCCUGGGCUCAACCUAGGAAUUGCGCUUGUGACUGGCGGGCUCGAGUACGGUAGAGGGGGGUGGAAUUCCUGGUGUAGCAGUGAAAUGCGUAGAGAUCAGGAGGAACACCGAUGGCGAAGGCAGCCCCCUGGGCCUGUACUGACGCUCAUGCACGAAAGCGUGGGGAGCAAACAGG
This 253-nucleotide ribosomal RNA is filed under the name uncultured microorganism. RNAcentral's name for it is "partial 16S ribosomal RNA". It matches the Rfam family "Bacterial small subunit ribosomal RNA", at positions 524 to 776 of the family's 1533-position model. The record is from RNAcentral.